This 462-nucleotide ribosomal RNA is filed under the name uncultured bacterium. RNAcentral describes it as "partial 16S ribosomal RNA". It matches the Rfam family "Bacterial small subunit ribosomal RNA", at positions 28 to 507 of the family's 1533-position model. The record is from RNAcentral.
GACGAACGCUGGCGGCGUGCUUAACACAUGCAAGUCGAACGAAAAGGCCCUUCGGUGUCCUCUAGUGGCGAACGGGUGAGUGACACGUUGGUAAGCUGCUCUGCACUUUGUGAUAAGCGUGUGAAACUGGGUCUAAUGCGCUAAAGGAGCACGCUAUUCUUAGUGUGAUGUUUAAAUCUUUUGCGGUGUUUGAUUGGCCCGCGGCCGAUCAGCUUGUUGGUGGUGUAAUGGCUUACCAAGUCGACGACUGGUAGCCGGCCGUGGAGUGUGACCGGCGACCCUGGGCCUGCGAGAGGGCGCAGACUCGUACGGGCGGCAGCAGUGGGGAACAUUGCACAAUGGCCGCACGCCUGAUGCAGAGACGCCGCGUGCGGGAUGCCCUCCUUCGGGUUGUAAACAUAUUUCAAUAGGGACGAAGAGCAAGUGACGGUACCUAUAGAAGAAGCCACGGCUAACUACGUG